This is a small RNA of 286 nucleotides. It matches the Rfam family "A. fumigatus sRNA Afu_309". The record is from Rfam.
UUCUUUCUUUCCACCACAUACUCGUGAACGGCUUGACACCAGCAUUCGUCUUCGGACGCAUAAUGGAGUUGCCGUUCAGUUUGACUUCGAGGAGCCAUCAAAUCCCCAUGAUGUCAAUUAUCUAGUCAACGGGUCUGAGAUCGAUUAAGCACCUGCAACCUCGAUGUUUUUGAGCCCUUCACGGGAGCUCGACGGAGAGACGGGUGUCUUAAGUCACUAUAUUCCAAAUCUUUUCGCAGAUGCCGUCGGCUUAUGAUGCUAAAGACUCACCAUGGUGAAUACAGUU